This 274-nucleotide ribosomal RNA is filed under the name uncultured bacterium. RNAcentral describes it as "partial 16S ribosomal RNA". It matches the Rfam family "Bacterial small subunit ribosomal RNA", at positions 523 to 796 of the family's 1533-position model. The record is from RNAcentral.
AUACAGAGGGUGCAAGCGUUAUUCGGAAUUACUGGGCGUAAAGCGCGCGUAGGCGGAUGAUUAAGUCAGUUGUGAAAGCCCUGGGCUCAACCUAGGAACUGCAUCUGAUACUGGUCGUCUAGAGUUUAAGAGAGGGAAGUGGAAUUCCAGGUGUAGCAGUGAAAUGCGUAGAUAUCUGGAGGAACAUCAGUGGCGAAGGCGACUUCCUGGCUUAAAACUGACGCUGAGGUGCGAAAGCGUUGGUAGCGAACGGGAUUAGAAACCCUUGUAGUCC